GCGCCGUUAGCUCAGUCUGGAAGAGCACCGGACUUUUAAUCCGGGGGUCGCAGGUUCGAAUCCUGCACGGCGCACCA
This 77-nucleotide transfer RNA is filed under the name Armatimonadota bacterium. RNAcentral describes it as "Armatimonadetes bacterium (hot springs metagenome) tRNA-Lys". It matches the Rfam family "tRNA". Rfam says of the family: Transfer RNA (tRNA) molecules are approximately 80 nucleotides in length. Their secondary structure includes four short double-helical elements and three loops (D, anti-codon, and T loops). The record is from RNAcentral. Lineage: Bacteria; Bacillati; Armatimonadota.